This is a long non-coding RNA of Oreochromis niloticus (Nile tilapia), 629 nucleotides long. RefSeq lists it as uncharacterized. Lineage: Eukaryota; Metazoa; Chordata; Actinopteri; Cichliformes; Cichlidae. The transcript has 3 exons. The record is from RefSeq and is a predicted model, not a curated record.
UGAUUCCAAAAUCGGUUUAUGGUGGCGACGUGGCUGUGGUUAAUUUUAAUAUGGGAAAACCAGUUACAACGGUGGGUCCCCGUUGUGUGUAGCAGGAAGGAGGGAAGGGAAGGGAAGAGGGGCUGACGUGAAUGAAUAAACAACUGAGCUCCUCCUCAACGCCACAGCGGACUCUGGCUCAGCUACUUUAAUAGGCUGAUUGAUUUCAAAUGUGCUUCGAGGGGCUUGGCUGGCCUGGACAACAAUGACUCUUCUACAUCUCAACAAGGACUUGACUCAUCUUUCACCUGCAGCCUGCCUCACAGCUGUUCAAUGAGCUCAGAACCGGCCCACAUGCAAGAACACACAGCUCUGCACAACAUAAUAUAAGCCCCCAUUGAGCCUAUGUGGUUUUUGGAGAGUCCAAAGCCUGAUGUAUCACAUGCCUCUGUUUUUUCACGAAUCCUCAUGCAUCCAGUAUUUUUCUCUCCACUGAGUUUUUUCCUCUUCAUGUUUGUUUUGUUUAUAGCGGAGAUUCACAACUGACAAAUGCUAGCUAUGUCUCCUUUUUGCCAUCUUUGUUUGAGAAUAAAUGCUUUUAUUCAAUGUAUGUCACACCCUUUAUUGCCAUUCCCAGGAGCAGAGGAAUA